This 477-nucleotide ribosomal RNA is filed under the name uncultured bacterium. Its description in RNAcentral is "bacterial SSU rRNA". It matches the Rfam family "Bacterial small subunit ribosomal RNA", at positions 28 to 519 of the family's 1533-position model. The record is from RNAcentral.
GACGAACGCUGGCGGCGUGCUUAACACAUGCAAGUCGAACGAUGAACCAGGGCUUGCCCUGGGGAUUAGUGGCGAACGGUGAGUAACACGUGGGCAACCUGCCCCAGACACCGGGAUAACCUCUCGAAAGAGUGGCUAAUACCGGAUAUGACCACUUCGGGCAUCCGACGGUGGUGGAAAGGAUUCUGGUCUGGGAUGGGCCCGCGGCCUAUCAGCUAGUUGGUGGGGUAAUGGCCUACCAAAGCGACGACGGGUAGCCGGCCUGAGAGGGCGACCGGCCACACUGGGACUGAGACACGGCCCAGACUCCUACGGGAGGCAGCAGUGGGGAAUAUUGCGCAAUGGGCGAAAGCCUGACGCAGCGACGCCGCGUGAGGGACGAAGGUCUUCGGAUUGUAAACCUCUUUCAGCAGGGACGAAGCGAAAGUGACUGUACCUGCAGAAGAAGCACCGGCUAACUACGUGCCAGCAGCCGCG